CUGCACGAGCUUUUCAAGUGUUUCAUGGUACACUCUACUAGAAGACAUGAAGUUGCCAGUACACUGAGGUACGUCCUGUCGAAAGGGAUGCGAAAGACCAUUGGGCAGCGAUGAGGACCCGUUUCUUUACUUUCCUCACAUACUACAUUAUCGUUCGCUUUGUACCGUGCGAUGGUAAGAGAGCUGCAUCAGGCCAACGCUGCUUAGCGAUGCCAACAGAGGAUGAGGAUUGUCAAAGUCCAAUCAGUAAAUGGUUUUAUAGUAAAAUUGAACGACGUUGUGUGAACUUUAUGUAUGGAGAUUGUCCAGUGGAAGGCAAUAUUUUUAACAGCAAGGAGGAAUGCGACAAUACUUGCAAAGAUGCAGGAGCUGGACAGCAUCCGGUGAAGCCCGGCGGUGGGCCUGUUAAAGGCCGUCCAGGUCACCAGAGACCGUCGCGGCAACAUGCUUCAAGCGAGGAAAAUGACGGCAGAGGCUCCAGGCAUUCCGGAAGGAAAGAUGAAGGAGUAGGAAAACAUAAGGUGAUGCCCGGCCGCACGAGGGUGAAGGUUCCAGGCGUCCCGGAAGAAAAGGAUCAGAAGAAGACACCAAUACCGUCAGGGUGCCUCCUAGAGGACACGGGGGCAACCGCCAGCCACACAGGCCGAGCAGACCGCACAGGCCCAGACCGCCCGUGCCGAAACCACAUAGACCCGCCGGAGGAGUAAAACAUCGGCCACGCCCACCUCUGCCACAUCCGGGAAAAGGAAGCUGUGGAGCGAGACCAAAAAGAGGGAACUGCGACGAAAAUGCUGACUUGUGGUUUAAUAAUGGAAACUUCAUGACUUGCUCUCGAGUGCCAGCAGGAAGGUGCCCGACUGUCGGAUCCUUCUUCGAAAGCUGUGAGGACUGCAUGCAGAAAUGCCGCCCACACCAGCUCCGCCAGUGCCAGUUCAAGACCUGAUCAUGCGCUACAAUACCAUAAGAGAGAUGGAGGCGGUGCCCUGCUGCGCAGUUUGUUGCAUUCUGUGGAACGUUAAAAAACGAAGUUUGGAAUAAAGGCCAUAUUAUGAACAAAGUUGGAACGUCAUGGUAUUC
Molecule: RNA transcript, 1077 nt
Organism: Dermacentor albipictus
Lineage: Eukaryota; Metazoa; Arthropoda; Arachnida; Ixodida; Ixodidae
Gene name: basic salivary proline-rich protein 4-like
Source: RefSeq, a predicted model, not a curated record